UCGAUUCCCUUAGUAGCGGCGAGCGAAACGGGAAGAGCCCAAACCAACAAGCUUGCUUGUUGGGGUUGUAGGACACUCUAUACGGAGUUACAAAGGACGACAUUAGACGAAUCAUCUGGAAAGAUGAAUCAAAGAAGGUAAUAAUCCUGUAGUCGAAAAUGUUGUCUCUCUUGAGUGGAUCCUGAGUACGACGGAGCACGUGAAAUUCCGUCGGAAUCUGGGAGGACCAUCUCCUAAGGCUAAAUACUCUCUAGUGACCGAUAGUGAACCAGUACCGUGAGGGAAAGGUGAAAAGCACCCCGGAAGGGGAGUGAAAUAGAACCUGAAACCGUGUGCUUACAAGUAGUCAGAGCCCGUUAAUGGGUGAUGGCGUGCCUUUUGUAGAAUGAACCGGCGAGUUACGAUUUGAUGCAAGGUUAAGCAGU
RNAcentral lists this ribosomal RNA (425 nucleotides) under Staphylococcus aureus. Its description in RNAcentral is "partial 23S ribosomal RNA". It matches the Rfam family "Bacterial large subunit ribosomal RNA", at positions 231 to 654 of the family's 2925-position model. Lineage: Bacteria; Bacillati; Bacillota; Bacilli; Caryophanales; Staphylococcaceae. The record is from RNAcentral.